Molecule: long non-coding RNA, 1295 nt
Filed under: Numida meleagris (helmeted guineafowl)
Lineage: Eukaryota; Metazoa; Chordata; Aves; Galliformes; Numididae
Description: lncRNA (ENSNMEG00000002452.1)
Source: RNAcentral
CACUCACACAAUGACACACUCACGCUCACUUUCACAUCGUGACACACUCACUCACACCCUGACACACUCACACUCACACCAUGGUGCACUCACACUCGCUCACACUCUCACACUAUUACACACCUACAGUCAUUCACAUGCUGACACACUUCUACCCACAUGUGCACUCACACUCACUCCCAUUCAUACACACUCACAUUCACAAGCACUCACACCCAUGUGCACACUCACACCCAUGUGCACACUCACCCCCACUCACACCCUACGACACACUCACACUCACACUCACCCCCUCACACUGUGACACACUCACUCCCUGUGACCCAUUCACACUCACCCCCAGGUGCACACUCACACUGUGACACACUCACACUCCCCCCUUGCACGCUCACCCUCCAUCCCCACAGCCCCAAACCGGGAGCGCUCCCUCGUCCCCACGAACCAUCCCAUAAUGACCCUCCCCGUUAAUUAACCGCUGCCUCGCUCUGCGCCCCCAAAUCCCCCCAGUGUGCCUCAGUUUCCCCAGAUCUGAUCCCAAAUCCCACUUCUUUGUGCCUCAGUUUCCCCAAUCCCAAUCCCAAAUCCCAUUCCUGUGCCUGUGUCCCCCAAUCUGACCCCAAAUCCCAUUUCCUGAGCCCCAAUUUGCCCCAAUCUGACCCCAAAUUCCAUCUCUGUGCCCCAAUUUCUCCCAGUCUCACCCCAAAUCCCACUCCCGUGCCUCAGUUUCCCCAAAUCUGACCCCAAAUUCCAUCUCUGUGCCUGUUUUCCCCCAGUUUCACCCCAAAUCCCAUUCCUGAGCCCCAAUUUGCCCCAAUCUGACCCCAAAUUCCAUCUCUGUGCCCCAAUUUCUCCCAGUCUCACCCCAAAUCCCAUUCACAUGCCUCAGUUUCCCCAAAUUUCACCCCCCAUCCUCACUCUGUGCCUCAGUUUCCCCAAACCCAAUCCCAAAUCCCACUCCCGUGCUUCAGUUUCCCCCAAUCUGACCCCAAAUCCCAUUCCUGUGCCUCAGUGUCCCCAAAUCUGACCCCAAAUCCCAUUCCUGAGCCCCAAUUUCCCCCAAUCUUACCCCAAAUCCCAUCUCUGUGCCCCAAUUUCUCCCAGUCUCACCCCAUAUCCCACCCCCGUGCCUCAGUUUCCCCAAAUUUCCUCCCACUGUGCCUCAUUUUCCCCCAUUCUGACCCCAAAUCCCCCCCUCUGUGCCUCAGUUUCCCCAAACCCAAUCCCAAAACCCAUUCACGUGCCUCAGUUUCCCCCAAUCUGACCCCAAAUCCCAUUCUGGAGCCCCAGUUUCCCCA